AGUGAACGCUGGCGGUAGGCCUAACACAUGCAAGUCGAACGGCAGCACAGUAAGAGUUUGCUCUUACGGGUGGCGAGUGGCGGACGGGUGAGGAAUACAUCGGAAUCUACUUUUUCGUGGGGGAUAACGUAGGGAAACUUACGCUAAUACCGCAUACGACCUACGGGUGAAAGCAGGGGAUCUUCGGACCUUGCGCGAUUGAAUGAGCCGAUGUCGGAUUAGCUAGUUGGCGGGGUAAAGGCCCACCAAGGCGACGAUCCGUAGCUGGUCUGAGAGGAUGAUCAGCCACACUGGAACUGAGACACGGUCCAGACUCCUACGGGAGGCAGCAGUGGGGAAUAUUGGACAAUGGGCGCAAGCCUGAUCCAGCCAUACCGCGUGGGUGAAGAAGGCCUUCGGGUUGUAAAGCCCUUUUGUUGGGAAAGAAAAGCAGCAGGUUAAUACCCCGCUGUUCUGACGGUACCCAAAGAAUAAGCACCGGCUAACUUCGU
Molecule: ribosomal RNA, 491 nt
Filed under: uncultured bacterium
Lineage: Bacteria
Description: partial 16S ribosomal RNA
Rfam family: Bacterial small subunit ribosomal RNA
Source: RNAcentral